RNAcentral lists this long non-coding RNA (573 nucleotides) under Homo sapiens (human). Its description in RNAcentral is "non-protein coding lnc-RGS7-1:3". The record is from RNAcentral. Lineage: Eukaryota; Metazoa; Chordata; Mammalia; Primates; Hominidae.
AAUCUAGGCAACAAAAUAAAUAGAACAGAGACUGGAAGACGUGAUGCUUCCUGGGAGAACAUGUGCCCGUAAGGAUCGAUCUCAUGGGAUUCUUAGCAUCAAGCAAAGAACUUGUAAUACGCUGAAUGCUGCAUAGAAGGUUUUGAAACUACUUACCUGCUGUGGAACACCUGUAUAACUUUAAAAUGCAUCAAUCAAUCUCGAGAGUAUGAUCAUGCUUCCUGCUUUUAAGGAUCUGAAGUUAACUGCAACUCCAAGUAUACAAGACUUCUUUGGGACCCAUGGAAGCAUCUCUACAUGCUCAUGUUUGCCAGAUUCAGUGGCCUCCUGAAACCUGGCCCUAGCUAAUAAGUUAAAAAGCUCUAAGUAAUCCCGAGCUGCAUUUGAAUCUCCAAGAUCACUUGUUCAUGGGUUGGUAAUACUUUAAAGAGCCAUUUGUUUAACUGCUAAUCUGGAUCUUAUAUUCUGAGCCCCAGCUUUUUUCUAAAGCAAAGAAAAUACAAAAUAAAAGUAAGACCAAAUGCCUUUGUACCAUGGAGAGAGAAAUGACUCAUUGGAAUGCUUCUGUUUUUC